This 201-nucleotide ribosomal RNA is filed under the name uncultured bacterium. RNAcentral's name for it is "partial 16S ribosomal RNA". It matches the Rfam family "Bacterial small subunit ribosomal RNA", at positions 328 to 539 of the family's 1533-position model. The record is from RNAcentral.
ACGCUCGACACCUACGGGAGGCAGCAGUGGGGAAUAUUGCACAAUGGGGGAAACCCUGAUGCAGCAACGCCGCGUGAAGGAAGAAGGUUUUCGGAUCGUAAACUUCUAUCAAUAGGGAAGAAAGAAAUGACGGUACCUAAAUAAGAAGCCCCGGCUAACUACGUGCAAGCAGCCGCGGUAAUCUGAGCGGGCUGGCAAGGC